This is a long non-coding RNA of Bubalus bubalis (water buffalo), 1945 nucleotides long. RefSeq lists it as uncharacterized. The record is from RefSeq and is a predicted model, not a curated record. The transcript has 3 exons. NCBI's taxonomy places the organism in Eukaryota, Metazoa, Chordata, Mammalia, Artiodactyla, Bovidae.
GGGGCGGAAGUAGCUUCUGCCCGCUGACGGGAUAGACCUUUCAGGGAUGUGACGCCACCGCGGAAGUGAAGGCAGGUUCUGCUAAGGAAAGGGGCCGAACCUUCCGAAGAGCGGUCUCGGCUUCCGGAAGGGACUUCUGGGGAAGUGGGAGGGUGGGAACGCGACAGCUUCAUGAAUUAUGCAUCAAGGGGCCUUUAUUCGUGCCUUCUGCAUAUGGAUGAGCCUCGGGGUCACACUGUCCCUCUGAAGAGGAAGGUGGGCUCAUGAGGCAGAACCAGGGGACUCAGGUAUCUUGCAAAGGCUUUAUUUGAAAAUUUUGAAACUUACAUCCCACAAGAAUUCAAGAUUAUCACCACAAGAAGAAAGAGAUAAUACAAAAAUAUAUAUCACAGCAUAGGAGCCAGGUAAGAGAGGAAAGAAGGAAGGAAGGUGGGAAAGCCAUGAGAAGUUGGGACAAACCUGAGGGGUGGAGGGGACAAAAGGCAGGAGAGUUGGAGGAACCAAGGAGGGAGGGAGGGGCAGGUUGGGAGGCAGAGCUCCUGAUGGCCUUAAACCAGCUGGCCCCGGUCCCUGGCAGCCUAGGUGGAAUUAGGGAGGCCCUCAGGGGGACUGGAAAGUGGAGGACUUGAUUGGGGGGGACGAUGGGGAGGAAAGGGGGCUCUGAGUUCCAGAGUGACACGCACAGACAGCCAGGACAGAAGAGACAGAAGGACUUGGGAGGCAGGGGAGGGCAAAUGGGGGCCCCUUUCUCCUGCACUGCAGCAGGAGGCUCCCCAAAAGCCAUCUCCCAGACAACAGAAUUUAGCAGUGGGGCUGGGGAGGAGUUUUGGGGCCUCAUGACUCCCCAUUUCCACAGGGGAGUCCUUAGAGUGGGAUGGGGGACAUGGUAAAACCCACGACGUGGAGUGGGGUGGGACCGGGACAGAUGGGGCCCAAAGAGCCCCCAGCUCAUCUCCCACCCCCCUCCAGGGCAGCAUGCAGGGGACACAGAAACUCCACCCGUGGGUGUUCACGAAGUGGAGUGUGAGCACGACAUUUACAACAUCACAACGAGGGGCCGGGAAAUGCACAUGAGAGGUACACCCACUGACCGCUGAGUGAUGGGCUGAGCGCAGGACGAGGGAGGAGAGGAAGUGAAAAGUGUGAGACAAAAGGGAGGACACGGGGAGCCUCGGAGGGGGGAUGUGGGUGGAGAGACUGGCUGUACAAGAGCGUGAGUGUGCGAUGGCCUGAGAGGGAAGAGGUGAGUGUGCAAGGCUCGUGUGAGUGUGCCAGGGUGGGGACCGGGGGGCCAGAAGCCACAGAUAAGUGAGGCCCCCACCUCAAGGAGGGUGAGCAGCUGGGCUUGCCUGUGGGCCAGCGAGUGUUCCCAAGGUAUAAGCCCAGGCAGAGCCGCAGCGCCCACAGCCGCCGUGCCCUCAGCAGGAUGGGGGCUAUGCCGGGCCCUUGGCCCCCUGCCUGGAGGUGCCCCAACCUUGGGGGACAUCACAGAUUCACCAGGGGAAUCCUAAGGGGAAAAGGGAAAGGGCACAGUCAGGAACCAAGGGGCAAGCCAGAAUCAGGAGGGCAGUUCAAGAAAUAAAAGGGAUGGAGAUUAAGGGGGCAAGGUGGAGUGAAAUGGCAGCAUGAAAACAGGACAUAGAUCUACAGGGAGACAGGUGGGGCCCCCCAGAGAGCAGAGGUCCAGUCUCCUGAGCGUGGGCCAGUCUGCCUCCUCCCCACCCACCCAGUGGGGAGCGCCCCACCCACUGCCACUGCCCGCCUCCCUGCCCUCUGCCCUGCCCUCACCGGUUCAGCUGGAAGGCUGGUGCCCCCUUGGGCUGGGGCAUCCCGGGCCGGGGCCCCCCUCGGGGUUCCUCGUGGUCAGGGGUGGGGGUGGGCGAGUCUCCGAAGGCCCCCAGCACAGUGACCCCGGCUGGGGACAGGUCAGUCAGGGGCUGCUGGC